AAUGGGCGCAAGCCUGAUCCAGCAAUACCGCGUGUGUGAAGAAGGCCUUAGGGUUGUAAAGCACUUUCAAUUGGGAGGAAAACCUACCGGUCAAUACCCGGUAGCUUGACAUUACCUUUAGAAGAAGCACCGGCUAACUCCGUGCCAGCAGCCGCGGUAAUACGGAGGGUGCAAGCGUUAAUCGGAAUUACUGGGCGUAAAGCGUGCGUAGGCGGUUCGUUAAGUCAGAUGUGAAAGCCCCGGGCUCAACCUGGGAACUGCAUUUGAAACUGGCGAACUAGAGUUGAGUAGAGGGGAGUGGAAUUUCAGGUGUAGCGGUGAAAUGCGUAGAUAUCUGAAGGAACACCAGUGGCGAAGGCGACUCCCUGGACUCAAACUGACGCUGAGGUACGAAAGCGUGGGUAGCAAA
Molecule: ribosomal RNA, 409 nt
Filed under: uncultured bacterium
Lineage: Bacteria
Description: bacterial SSU rRNA
Rfam family: Bacterial small subunit ribosomal RNA
Source: RNAcentral